Molecule: ribosomal RNA, 253 nt
Filed under: uncultured bacterium
Lineage: Bacteria
Description: partial 16S ribosomal RNA
Rfam family: Bacterial small subunit ribosomal RNA
Source: RNAcentral
UACGUAGGGUGCAAGCGUUGUCCGGAAUUAUUGGGCGUAGAGAGCUCGUAGGCGGUUUGUUGCGUCGGCUGUGAAAACCUGAGGCUCAACCUCAGGCCUGCAGUCGAUACGAGCAGACUAGAGUGUUGCAGGGGAGACUGGAAUUCCUGGUGUAGCGGUGAAAUGCGCAGAUAUCAGGAGGAACACCGGUGGCGAAGGCGGGUCUCUGGGCAACAACUGACGCUGAGGAGCGAAAGCGUGGGGAGCGAACAGG